This 831-nucleotide ribosomal RNA is filed under the name Triticum aestivum (bread wheat). Its description in RNAcentral is "partial small subunit ribosomal RNA". Lineage: Eukaryota; Viridiplantae; Streptophyta; Magnoliopsida; Poales; Poaceae. The record is from RNAcentral.
AUGAUCACAGACAAUGCCACUAUUGCAUUCGAGUGCUUCCAUAAGAUUCAGCGUAGCAGAAAUAAACACGACACAUAUUGCGCGUACAAGUUGGACUUGGCAAAAGGGUAUGACAGGGUUGACUGGAAUUUUCUUGAAGAGGUCCUGUUAAAGUUGGGUUUCAAUCAGAAGUGGACAGCCUGGGUUAUGGAGUGUGUCCGCUCAGUGAAAUAUUCAGUCAGAUGUAACGGAGAGCUUUUGGAACAAUUCAUACCAACUAGAGGGAUACGUCAGGGUGAUCCGCUCAGUCCAUAUCUAUUCCUUUUCGUAGCUGAUGGUCUGGUUGCCCUCAUGAACAAGAAGAUAAGAGAUGGCAUGCUGACACCAGUUAAAAUUGCAAGGAACAGCCCGGGAAUAUCAAAUCUCCUUUUCGCUGACGAUAGUUUGAUUUUCUUCAAGGCCACAGUGGAGCAGGCACGAACUAUGAAAGAGGUGCUAGUUACCUUCCAGAAUGGCACAGGGCAACUGUUGAGCGAGAGUAAAUGCUCUUUACUCUUUAGUGAGCAAUGCCCGGAAGGGACUAGAGAGGAAAUUAAGAGUGUAUUGGGAGUGAUAUCUGCUUCGUUUGAGAGUAAGUAUUUGGGACUGCCGACGCCGGAAGGAAGAAUGAAGGAUGAAAACUUCCAACCGAUCUUGGAUAGAUUUGUAAAGAGAUGUAGUGACUGGUCAGGGAGGUUCAUGGCCUAUGCCGCAAAGGAAGUACAUGUCAAAUCUGUCGUACAAGCCCUGCCAUGCUUCACUAUGUGUGUUUUCCUUCUGUCGAAGGGUUUUGUGAGAAAUAUGAGAAGUUGA